Molecule: long non-coding RNA, 3758 nt
Filed under: Nicotiana tabacum (common tobacco)
Lineage: Eukaryota; Viridiplantae; Streptophyta; Magnoliopsida; Solanales; Solanaceae
Description: long non-coding RNA (NTAB_LNC006254)
Source: RNAcentral
UUUGUUCAUUAAGUAAUGUGUUUUGUUCUCAACCAUAGGAUAUGUAUCUAGAAGCUUCUUGUGUAAGGACUCAACAUCAUUAUUUAUGCACACACGUGAGAAUAUAGGGGAGCAUGUGAUAGGCAGUUGGUAUGGUUGAUGUGUGUAUAUAAUAAGAUAUUGUACAUGCAUUUUAUUUUGAGCCGAAUGAAAUUAAUUUUCUUCUUCCCCAAGUUUUACAUGGUAUCAGAGCAAAUCAAUUUCAUCAUAUCUAGUUUAGAUUUUUUUACAGAAAUUUCUAGAAAUCUUAGAAAUUCCUUGAUUUUCUUCUGUUGAAUAUGGUCUUGAUUGAGGAUUCUGCUUCAGUGAUUCUGCUGCUUCUGUUCCUCCUCUAAUGGCGAAAAUCGAUCGUCUUCAUCCUUACUAUCUUCAUGCAUCAGACUCGCUAGGUAUGGCUUUGGUAUUCUCUGCUUUUGACAGCACUGGAUAUGAAUCAUGGAGGAAAUCUAUCUUACUCUCUUUAUCUGCUAAAAACAAGCUUGGUUUCAUUGACGAGACCUUGGUGAAGCCAAAGGAAAAUUCUGAAUUUUUCAAUCUAUGUACGAGAUGUAAUGAUAUGGUAUUUGCUUGGAUAUUGAAUUAUCUCACCAAGAAAUUAGAUGCAGUAUAAUUCACUCCAAAUAUGUGCAUGAUUUGUGGAAACAGCUUAAGAAAAGAUAUGGACAGUCUAACCUAGCAUAAUUAUUUGAGCUAUAAAAGCAAAUAAUGAAAACUGUACAAGGGUCAAACAAUAUCGCGACAUAUUUCAAUAACAUGAAAGUUAUAUGGGAUGAAAUUAAUCUACUCAAUGCUAGGGCAGUAUGCAGUUCUGUUGACGAUAAGUGUGGAGCUGUGGAGAAAAAUAGUGCACUUGAGAAAAGACAAAAUUUAGUGCAAUUUUUAAUGGGACUCAAUGAACGUAUACUGCUUGUAGAGGUAACAUAAUGAUGAUGAAUCCCUCACCAGACAUUGACCGAGCAUACUUUCUGCUACUACAAGAGGAGAGGCAAAAAAGUAUACAACCUAUGGAAAAUUUACCUACAGAGUCUAGUUCUUUCUCUGUUGCUAGACAAUCAUUCACCAUAGGGUAAUGAAAUCAGAGGUUCAAUAUGCAACAAGGGGAAUCUUGCAACACCUCAAAACCAAACUCCUAUCAGGACUACAAGGGCAAUUCUAAUUGCAAAUAUUGCAAAAAUCCAUGACAUACUAUAAAAAAAUAUUUCAAACUUCAUGGUUAUCCCACGAAUUUUAACAAGGAGGCUUUAAGAACAACAAACCAAGGUAGAAUACACAACCAACAUUCUAUAAUUCAGCACAUAGUAAUGCAAUAAGUACUGAAGCAGAAUCUACUUAAUCUCCAAGUACUGAUGUUACUGUUGGAUCGAAUCAAGAGCAAAUUUCUCAGUUAUUGGAAGUACUACACCAAGUCAAAAUUGCACAAUAAGACACAUCUGGUUCUGAAGCAAAUGUGACAGUUAACUGUGCUGGUAUUACUUUCUUUACUAUCUUAACUACUCCUAAAAACUCUAUUUGUCAUUUUUGGAUAAUGACUCUGGGGCUUCAGAACACUUCACCUUUGAUGAGUCCAUUCUAUUCAACAUUAUGCCCUUACAACAAUCUAUAUUUGGUAACCUACCUAACUUCUUUAGGAUUAAAGUCACUCAUGCAGGUCAAUCUUUUAUUCACCUGAAUUAACUCUAAACAGAGUCCUUUUCGUUCCUAGUUUCAAAUUCAACCUAUUAUCAGUUCAAAAAUUAUGUUUGCAAUUUAAAGCUUGUUUACCUUCUCCGCUACUUGUUUCUUACACGGCCCAUCCUUGAGGAAGCCUCUGGAUCUUGGUAGAGUGAAAGAUGGGCUUUAUCCGCUGCAAACUUUUCACCCUAUUUCUGUUAAUAACCUGCAGACAAAUAAGACAAACUCAUCAUCUGUAAAUAAUUUGUCAUCAGUCUGUUUGCACUUCAUUGUCUAGUUCUGAAAUUUCAUGUGGCAAUCUAUGGCAUGUAAGACGUAGGCAUAUGCACACUUCCAGUAUGAAACACAUUUCUGCAUUGUCACAGAAUGCUUUUACUACUGAUUCUUUUCUUUGUUCUAUUUGUCCCUUAGUCAGGCAACAUAAGCUACCAUUUCCCAACAGUACUACCUCUACAUCACACAUUUUUAAACUUCUACAUAUCGAUACUGGGGACCUUACAAAAUAACUACCCAUUAUGGUUUUAGGUACUUUCUCACUAUAGUUGAUGAUUUUAGUAGGGGUAUUUGGACCUAUCUUUUGAGCACAAAAGGAAAUGCAUUUAGUGUUCUCAAAUCUUUUAUUGCUAUGAUAGAAAGGCUAUUUGCCACCAAAAAUUAAAAUCAUUAGAUCUGAUAAUGCCUUAGAACUGGGGAGUGGUGCUAUUGCUGCCACCUAUUUUCAAUCCAAAGGUAUCUUUCAACAAACUAGUUAUGUGGCCACCCCUCAACAAAAUAGUAUUGUUGAAAGGAAACACAAAUACUUGCUUGAAACUUGUAGAACUUUGCUAUUUCAAUCUAAAGUUCCUACUAUUUACUAGGGUGAGUGCCUUUUGACAACCACUUUCCUUAUCAACAAAUAUCCUACCAAAUUGCUUCACUACAAAACACCCUAUGAGGUUCUUUUUGGCAAAUCUCCUGGUUAUAAUUUUCCUAAGUGUUUUGACUGCCUAUAUUUUUCCUCUACUAUGUCUCAACACAGAGGGAAACUUGAUCCUAGGGCUAUUGCUUGUGUCUUUCUUGGUUACCCUUAUGGAAAGAAAGAUUACAAGCUAGUGAACUUACAAACUAACCGUAUCUUUAUUUCUAAUAAUAUUGUUUUUCAUGAGUCUAUCUUCCCCAUCUUUAUUCUACCUUCUGUUUCUUCCCCACUAUUUUCUGAAUCCCCUACUGUACCUUUUUCCUCAUAUCCUCUCUAUAUACAUAUUACUGCUUCAUCUCUUAUUCCCUCACCUUCUCCUCUCCUUCCUUCUAAUCCUUCCUCUCCUUUCCCUGUAUUCAGGUCAUGAUCUUCUGCCCCAUCAUCUUCUGGUUCUACAUCUUUGGUUGUCUUGCCUCCUUACAGAUCUUUUCGUACCUCCCACUCUGCCUAUUCCUCUUCAUUCUGAUAGUCAGGCCGCGAUUUACAUCGCCAAAAACCCCGUCUUUCACGACCAGACAAAACACGUCGAACUUGGUUGCCAUUUCGUCCGUCGACAGUUUCAAUGUGGCCUCAUUUCUCUUUUUUUUUUCUUCCCACUCGUUCUCAGUUAGCGAACAUUUUUACCAAACCUCUUUCUGGGUCUUCUCAUCGUGAGCUUCUGAGCAAGUUGGGGGUCAUUCUUCCCCCUUCAACUUGCGCGGGGGUGGGGGUGGGGGUGGGGGAGGGGUGGGGGAGGGUGCUGACAGUGGUGGUAUUGUGUUGAGAUAAGGUUGUGGCGGCUAGGGUUAUUGAAGCUCUUGGAUGAUAACAAAUGAGAGAAAGCAAUACACAAAGCUGCCUCAUUAAGCAAUAGCAAGGACACGUGGACUGAUCAUAGCUUUGUUCAUUAAGUAAUGUGUUUUGUUCUCAACCAUAGAAUCUGUAUCUAGAAGCUUUUUGUGUAAAGACUCAACAUAAUUAUUUAUGCACACACGUGAGAAUAUAAGGGAGCACGUGAUAGACGGUUGGGUUGGUUGAUGCGUGUAUACAAUAAGACACUGUAUAGACAUUUCAUUUUGAGCAGAAUGAAAUCAAUUCUCUUCUCCAACUA